RNAcentral lists this ribosomal RNA (449 nucleotides) under uncultured bacterium. RNAcentral's name for it is "bacterial SSU rRNA". It matches the Rfam family "Bacterial small subunit ribosomal RNA", at positions 29 to 507 of the family's 1533-position model. The record is from RNAcentral.
AACGAACGCUGGCGGCAGGCCUAACACAUGCAAGUCGAGCGCCCCGCAAGGGGAGCGGCGGACGGGUGAGUAACACGUGGGAAUUUUCCUCAAGGUACGGAACAACUCAGGGAAACUUGGGCUAAUACCGUAUGAUGCAGAGAUGCCAAAGAUUUAUCGCCUUGGGAUAAGCCCGCGUCAGAUUAGGUAGUUGGUGGGGUAAUGGCCUACCAAGCCUGUGAUCUGUAGCUGGUCUGAGAGGACGAUCAGCCACAUUGGGACUGAGACACGGCCCAGACUCCUACGGGAGGCAGCAGUGGGGAAUAUUGGACAAUGGGGGCAACCCUGAUCCAGCAAUGCCGCGUGAAUGAUGAAGGCCUUAGGGUUGUAAAGUUCUUUUCUCUGGGAAUAAAAGUGGAAUUCUUUCCGCCUUGAAGGUACCAGAGGAAUAAGCACCGGCUAACUCCGUG